RNAcentral lists this ribosomal RNA (545 nucleotides) under Prosoeca sp. 12 GLT-2023a. Its description in RNAcentral is "partial large subunit ribosomal RNA". It matches the Rfam family "Bacterial large subunit ribosomal RNA", at positions 1802 to 2620 of the family's 2925-position model. The record is from RNAcentral. Lineage: Eukaryota; Metazoa; Arthropoda; Insecta; Diptera; Nemestrinidae.
GUUUAUCAAAAACAUGUCCUUUAGAGUUAAAUUUAAGGUCUAACCUGCCCNCUGAUAAAUUUAAAUGGCCGCAGUAUUUUAACUGUGCAAAGGUAGCAUAAUCAUUAGUUUUUUAAUUGGAGACUUGUAUGAAGGGUUGGACAAGAUAUAUAUUGUUUCAUAUAAAUUUAUAGAAUUUUAUUUUUUAGUUAAAAAGCUAAAAUUUUAUUAAAAGACGAGAAGACCCUAUAGAUCUUUAUAAUUAUUAAAUUUUAUUUAUUAAGAAUAUUUUAUAUUUAAUUUGUAUAAUUGUUUUAUUGGGGUGAUAGUAAGAUUAAUUUAACUCUUAUGUAAUUAAUACAUAAAUUAAUGAUUAGUUGAUCCAAUAUUAUUGAUUAAUAAAAUAAGUUACCUUAGGGAUAACAGCGUAAUUUUUUUGGAGAGUUCCUAUCGAUAAAAAAGAUUGCGACCUCGAUGUUGGAUUAAGAGAUAGGCUUGGGCGCAGCCGUUCAAGUUUAAAGUCUGUUCGACUUUUUAAUUCUUACAUGAUCUGAGUUCAAACCGGA